UGGGGAAUUUUGGACAAUGGGCGAAAGCCUGAUCCAGCAAUGCCGCGUGUGUGAAGAAGGCCUUCGGGUUGUAAAGCACUUUUGUCCGGAAAGAAAUCCUUGGCUCUAAUACAGUCGGGGGAUGACGGUACCGGAAAAAUAAGCACCGGCUAACUACGUGCCAGCAGCCGCGGUAAUACGUAGGGUGCAAGCGUUAAUCGGAAUUACUGGGCGUAAAGCGUGCGCAGGCGGUUUGCUAAGACCGAUGUGAAAUCCCCGGGCUCAACCUGGGAACUGCAUUGGUGACUGGCAGGCUAGAGUAUGGCAGAGGGGGGUAGAAUUCCACGUGUAGCAGUGAAAUGCGUAGAGAUGUGGAGGAAUACCGAUGGCGAAGGCAGCCCCCUGGGCCAAUACUGACGCUCAUGCACGAAAGCGUGGGGAGCAAACAGGAUUAGAUACCCUGGUAGUCCACGCCCUAAACGAUGUCAACUAGUUGUUGGGGAUUCAUUUCCUUAGUAACGUAGCUAACGCGUGAAGUUGACCGCCUGGGGAGUACGGUCGCAAGAUUAAAACUCAAAGGAAUUGAC
RNAcentral lists this ribosomal RNA (566 nucleotides) under uncultured bacterium. RNAcentral describes it as "partial 16S ribosomal RNA". It matches the Rfam family "Bacterial small subunit ribosomal RNA", at positions 355 to 914 of the family's 1533-position model. The record is from RNAcentral.